GCCAGAUUAAGUGCGCCAGUAAAGAAGAUAGCUACCAGUACCGUAAAAGAGGGAAUUUAACACCAAAAGUGCAAGACGAUAUCCUCCAGAAUAAAGAACGGCACUUCCCUAGAAUGUCAGCUUGUAACCGAAAUUAUACUUCUCACCCUAAUGUCAUCAAGCUUGGCCUUGUUUUGAUCAACAAAAUGAGAGUUGCAUGUCCCAAAUAGAGCUGCUUCUCAAGCUUUGGUCUCAGAAUAAAGGUGUGCAGAGCCACAGCAGACACACAUGACACGUAAUGUAACAUUGUAGAAUCAUCCUUCUUCUGUACAUAGUGCUGAGCGGGGAAGGUGUGUGGCUGUGAGAAUGCGCUUCUCAGAUCUCCAGCUGGGGGAAUGCACCAACAGCUCAGCUGCUGAACUCUGAAGUCCAUGCUCAGCUUUGAAAUCCCUUGCCCUUCACUCCCAGGCCUCACUUCCCACAGGCUGCUCCUGGCCAGCGACUGAGCACAGAAGGGACUUUAGGACAGGCUUUUUCCUGGGAUAAGUGGUACUCUUCUCAUGGACAACUUUGGCUCAAAGACUCCUCAGUGGCCUUGCCAAAUUCUCCUUAGAGCUGCACUGUGGUCUAAGACGCUUCCACCUAGAACUCCUUCCUUCUCGCUCCUUCACUUAGAGUCAGACCUGCAUCACUAUCCAGUGGUCCUCUCGGUCUCUCCCAGCUCCUGCCCCAUUUUCUUCCACAGGUGUUUUCCAUAAUAAAUUUCUUGCAUUUAA
Non-coding RNA from Equus caballus (horse), 755 nucleotides. The record is from RefSeq and is a predicted model, not a curated record. Lineage: Eukaryota; Metazoa; Chordata; Mammalia; Perissodactyla; Equidae.